UACGAAGGGGGCUAGCGUUGCUCGGAAUUACUGGGCGUAAAGCGCACGUAGGCGGAUUGUUAAGUCGGGGGUGAAAUCCUGGAGCUCAACUCCAGAACUGCCUUCGAUACUGGCGAUCUCGAGUUCGGGAGAGGUGAGUGGAACUGCGAGUGUAGAGGUGAAAUUCGUAGAUAUCAAGCGGAACACCGGUGGCGAAGGCGGCCUUCUGGACAGUGACUGACGCUGAGACGCGAAAGCGUGGGGAGCAAACAGG
RNAcentral lists this ribosomal RNA (253 nucleotides) under uncultured bacterium. Its description in RNAcentral is "partial 16S ribosomal RNA". It matches the Rfam family "Bacterial small subunit ribosomal RNA", at positions 524 to 776 of the family's 1533-position model. The record is from RNAcentral.